Mus musculus (house mouse) is the source of this 653-nucleotide long non-coding RNA. RefSeq annotates it as predicted gene, 52736. NCBI's taxonomy places the organism in Eukaryota, Metazoa, Chordata, Mammalia, Rodentia, Muridae. The record is from RefSeq and is a predicted model, not a curated record. The transcript is spliced from 2 exons.
UUCAGGACUCUGAACUUGGAAAACAUUCCUUUCUAGGUUUAAGUUUAAUCCCACAAAACCAAACUAAUAAAACAAACUAUGGGCUGGAGAGAUGACUCAGUGGUUGAGUGUUGGCCGUACAAUCAGGAAGACUUCAGUUUGGACCCCAGCACCCAUAGAACAAGCUGAUCCUCUUUUGGCAUCAGAGAUACACACAUCUGCACAACUAUACACACAGUGAAAUGAACACUGAUAGAAUACCCAGGAUCUUCCCACCAUCAGAUCUGUGUUGCCACACACCAUGUGUUCCACCUGUAGACCAGAAGCUGCACUUAUCCCAGGAGAGCCAUGAACAGAGCACAAUGUGUUUGUAGGUAAUCAAAAGGUUGGACUUUCCUGAUUUAAGGCUAAGAGGACCUCAUGUGAAUUUGGCAAUGUGAUGCCACAGUAGUCUUAAGAUGCAGAAAACAGCACUGGGGAGACAGCUCAAUCAAUAAAGUGCUCUCCACUCCAAGUGUGAGAGCCGGAGUUCCACCAACACCUGUGUAAAAGCUGGAUGAAACAUGAUUCUCUGUACAUAUGUGCAAGCACACCCACACACAUGAACACAUAUCUGUAGAAUGAAAAUAAAAAUACAUUUUUUUCUUUUGGAAAUAUAUUGGAAUGUUACAUUA